This 535-nucleotide ribosomal RNA is filed under the name Phyciodes picta (painted crescentspot). RNAcentral describes it as "partial 16S ribosomal RNA". The stretch from base 398 to 535 matches the Rfam family "Archaeal large subunit ribosomal RNA", at positions 2542 to 2680 of the family's 2987-position model. The record is from RNAcentral. Lineage: Eukaryota; Metazoa; Arthropoda; Insecta; Lepidoptera; Nymphalidae.
UCAAAAACAUGUCUUUUUGAUAAUAAUUUAAAGUCUAAUCUGCCCACUGAUAAAAUAUUAAAGGGCUGCAGUAUAUUGACUGUACAAAGGUAGCAUAAUCAUUAGUCUUUUAAUUGAAGACUUGUAUGAAAGAUUUGAUGAAAUAUAAUCUGUCUCUAUAUUAAUAAUAGAAAUUAAUUUUUUAGUUAAAAAGCUAAAAUAAUAUUAAAAGACGAGAAGACCCUAUAAAGUUUUAUAAUUUAUUUAUUUAUUAUUAAUUAUAAAAAUAAGUAUAAUAAUUAAAUAAAUUAUUUUAUUGGGGUGAUAGAAAAAUUAAAUAAACUUUUUUUUUAAUUUAAACAUUAAUAAGUGAAAAAUUGAUCCAUUAAUAAUGAUUAAAAGAAAAAAUUACUUUAGGGAUAACAGCGUAAUAUUUUUUUUUAGUACAAAUAAAAAAAAAAGUUUGCGACCUCGAUGUUGGAUUAAGAUAAAAUUUAAAUGCAAAAGUUUAAAAUUUUGAUCUGUUCGAUCAUUAAAAUCUUACAUGAUCUGAGCU